This 575-nucleotide long non-coding RNA is filed under the name Elaeis guineensis (African oil palm). Its description in RNAcentral is "long non-coding RNA (EGUI_LNC025284)". Lineage: Eukaryota; Viridiplantae; Streptophyta; Magnoliopsida; Arecales; Arecaceae. The record is from RNAcentral.
CAUGCGACGUAGCACCAUGGGAAUAUUGCAACGAUUCGGAAUUAUAUAUGACAUCCUAACAUCAUCAAUAAUUCACUACCAACAGAGUUGGAGAAACUAUAUCCAGUAUACUUGCAAGUUAAAGCUUCUUUCAUGUGAAGGUUAGCAACCCAUUGUUCUCAUCUACAUGAUAUCAGGUGACUUACAACACAUGGUUAAAGCAAAACAAAGAAACCAGUAGAAUGAUCGAAGAAAAGAUGGUGUACCAACCAGCACCAGCACUAUCUCUUCUCAAAGACAAAAGAAAAAAAAAAGACCAACCAGCACUAUCAAUGGCAGAGAAAGUUUCCAGAUCCUAUCAUGAAAGAAAUGGAUUGACACCCUAGUUAAUGAAUUUCAGUGAGUUCAUUUUGUUCAUGAAUGCCAUUCGAACUGUUUCAGAUUUCAUCGACCAAUCACGGCUUAGGAGGUCGACAUCCCUCUUCAUUUGGCACUGGCCUAGCAUAUAUUUAAAAACCAGUGGUGUCCCUUCCACUAUAUUUCAUCAAAACUGUAUCAAAAUUUAUGAAAGAUAUCUUAAAGCAUACUGGCCCACU